Molecule: ribosomal RNA, 540 nt
Filed under: uncultured Geobacter sp.
Lineage: Bacteria; Pseudomonadati; Thermodesulfobacteriota; Desulfuromonadia; Geobacterales; Geobacteraceae
Also listed under: 1 other name
Description: bacterial SSU rRNA
Rfam family: Bacterial small subunit ribosomal RNA
Source: RNAcentral
GAGUUUGAUCCUGGCUCAGAACGAACGCUGGCGGCGUGCUUAACACAUGCAAGUCGAACGUGAUCCGGAGCUUGCUCCGGUGAAAGUGGCGCACGGGUGAGUAACGCGUGGAUAAUCUGCCCUGGUAUCUGGGAUAACAUCUCGAAAGGGGUGCUAAUACCGGAUAAGCCUACGGACUCCUCGGAGUCUGCAGGAAAAGGUGGCCUCUAUUUAUAAGCUACCGUAUCAGGAUGAGUCCGCGUACCAUUAGCUAGUUGGUGGGGUAAUGGCCCACCAAGGCUACGAUGGUUAGCUGGUCUGAGAGGAUGAUCAGCCACACUGGAACUGAGACACGGUCCAGACUCCUACGGGAGGCAGCAGUGGGGAAUUUUGCGCAAUGGGGGAAACCCUGACGCAGCAACGCCGCGUGAGUGAUGAAGGCUUUCGGGUCGUAAAGCUCUGUCAGAGGGGAAGAAAUGAGACUGGCUAAUAUCCAGUUUUCUUGACGGUACCCUCAAAGGAAGCACCGGCUAACUCCGUGCCAGCAGCCGCGGUAAUACC